ACCUACGGGGGGCAGCAGUAGGGAAUCUUCCACAAUGGGCGAAAGCCUGAUGGAGCAACGCCGCGUGGGUGAAGAAGGUCUUCGGAUCGUAAAACCCUGUUGUUAGAGAAGAAAGUGCGUGAGAGUAACUGUUCACGUUUCGACGGUAUCUAACCAGAAGGCCACGGCUAACUACGUGCCAGCAGCCGCGGUAAUACGUAGGUGGCAAGCGUUAUCCAGAUUUAUUGGGCGUAAAGGGAACGCAGGCGGUCUUUUAAGUCUGAUGUGAAAGCCUUCGGCUUGACCGGAGUAGUGCAUUGGAAACU
Molecule: ribosomal RNA, 305 nt
Filed under: uncultured bacterium
Lineage: Bacteria
Description: bacterial SSU rRNA
Rfam family: Bacterial small subunit ribosomal RNA
Source: RNAcentral